Molecule: transfer RNA, 72 nt
Filed under: Marmota monax (woodchuck)
Lineage: Eukaryota; Metazoa; Chordata; Mammalia; Rodentia; Sciuridae
Rfam family: tRNA
About the family: Transfer RNA (tRNA) molecules are approximately 80 nucleotides in length. Their secondary structure includes four short double-helical elements and three loops (D, anti-codon, and T loops). Further hydrogen bonds mediate the characteristic L-shaped molecular structure. tRNAs have two regions of fundamental functional importance: the anti-codon, which is responsible for specific mRNA codon recognition, and the 3' end, to which the tRNAs corresponding amino acid is attached (by aminoacyl-tRNA synthetases). tRNAs cope with the degeneracy of the genetic code in two manners: having more than one tRNA (with a specific anti-codon) for a particular amino acid; and 'wobble' base-pairing, i.e. permitting non-standard base-pairing at the 3rd anti-codon position.
Source: Rfam by way of RNAcentral
UGGGGUAUAGCUCAGUGGUAGAGCACUUGCCUAGCAUGUAUGAGGCCCUGGGUUUAAUCCCCAAUACCACAA